ACCGGCAGCAAUAUGAAGGCCAGGCUGAAGACUUUGCCGGAUUAGCUGAGAGGUGGUGCAUGGCCGUCGUCAGUUCGUACUGUGAAGCAUCCUGUUAAGUCAGGCAACGAGCGAGACCCACGCCCACAGUUGCCAGCGUACUCUCUGGAGUGACGGGUACACUGUGGGACCGCCGCUGCUAAAGCGGAGGAAGGAAUGGGCAACGGUAGGUCAGUAUGCCCCGAAUAUCCCGGGCUACACGCGAGCUACAAUGGUUGGUACAAUGGGUAUCUACCCCGAAAGGGGACGGGAAUCUCCUAAAACCAAUCUUAGUUCGGAUUGAGGGCUGCAACUCGCCCUCAUGAAGCUGGAAUCCGUAGUAAUCGCGUUUCAACAGAACGCGGUGAAUACGUCCCUGCUCCUU
RNAcentral lists this ribosomal RNA (403 nucleotides) under uncultured Methanosaeta sp. Its description in RNAcentral is "bacterial SSU rRNA". It matches the Rfam family "Archaeal small subunit ribosomal RNA", at positions 935 to 1338 of the family's 1478-position model. Lineage: Archaea; Methanobacteriati; Methanobacteriota; Methanomicrobia; Methanotrichales; Methanotrichaceae. The record is from RNAcentral.